ACUUUCAGAUAAUGAUAUUAGAAGUUGUUAAUAUCUUUCAUAAAGGAGUCAUAUGUGGAAGAUAAUUAUAAGAAUUUCUUCUUACACUAACACUGCACUUGAACUGUCGCUUUUGACAGUUCCUCAUAGAACAUUUAUUUCUACUUAGGCCUCACACCCCUCCACCCCGUGUUCCUUACACUUACUAAUUACACACCUACAUCAAUCCUAUUCCCGAAAUAAUCGUCCAUAAUCAUCUUACAAUUUCUAUUCUUUAAAUAGGGAAUAUGCAUGAUUUUUUAUCAUUUUUAAAUAAAUUCAAUGAGUAAUUAUAUAACCGGAAAAAUAUAUAACACUUGCAUAAUUAUAUUACAUAAACCUGAAAAAAAUAAUUUUAAAGUAUAAUUUUCUGAUGAUUUAAACGCUGUCAAUUACGAGCGAACUGAAAAUUUGUCCAUGUGUUUAGAUUCUUUGCAAUAUUUCAUAAGUUGGUUAGCUAUAUUCCAACAGUGUUAAUCUAAUCUUUAAAAACUGAAAGAAAACUGACACUAUGGUCUGCUUGAAGCAUUACUAGUCUUCGAUAAUGAGCACAUAGCUUUUGCUUUCAAGAAUUCUAAGGUUAUGCCUACUCAAGAUAAUUUAGACAUUUUUCAAUACCAGUCUAUACUGGAAGAUGGUAGAUCCUCCCUGCAUCUAUAAAGCCAGGCUAUGAUAGCAAUUUAGUGCAAUAAAGCAAUAUAAUACAGUAUAAAAUAUAAUAUCUAAAAAAAAGUAUUGUUAUAUUACAAACAUUCAACUAACUUUUACAUGCACUCUUUUUUAGCAAUUCUCUUGCAAGCUUCUUUAUUUUAUUAUUUACCUAUUAUAUUAUUACAUUACCCUAAGAAACUUAUCAGCAGUAUUCAGUAUCAGGAUGUCAACGAAACAUCCAAUAUUCAUACAUCCGACCUACGUUACAAUAUGAUUAUUAGUGAUGGUGACUUCAAAUUUUAAUCUGCCAAUAUUGUACGUGGGUAACAUUGAAAAUGUUAAGAAGUGGCCAGUUACAAACAUUGCCAUUGAAAUUUUUUUUAUUUCAAUUUAAGAACUCUUUGAUAACCUAAUGUAGUAUAUUACAGUCAUCUGUCAUGUAUUAUUGUGAAGUGGCGCAAAUCUAAAACUCUUAUUACACGUGAUAAUUAAACUAACGCUAGAAAAUUUUCGGUCAAUGUUUUAUUAUGACUUUCGUUAUAAGCUUACUCGAUGACAAAACUAGGAUAGGCUGCGUUUAGCUAUUUUUAAUGAAGCCCCGCCUCGUGCCACUAUUUACAAUUAGUUUAAUGAGUUUAAGCGUCGACGUAGCAAUGUAAAUGAUGUGCCGCGUGAGGGACGUCCUUUAACAGCGAUUACUGAAGAUAACAUGGGUGCUAUGCGACACAUCAUAGAGGAAGAUAAGCGAGUACCAGCGGACAGCGGCAUGCCUAAGAAUUGGUAUGAGUUAAAUUCAAGAAAUAUUACACGAACAUUUAGGACUCAGUCGGGAUGUUUUGUAGCAGAUGAAUUCCCCUAUACUUUAACCGAAGACCAGAAACACCUUCGCAGGGACUGGUGUCGCCAAAUGAUAUGUAAGUUCAACGGUGACUCAAAUGCUGUAUUUGACAUCAUCACAGAGGAACGGCAAACUUAGGUAAAGAAGUCAAGCAAAAAAGACGAUUGCUUCAUUCUUUGGUCGGAAAGGUCAGUUCACAAUAGUUGUGCUAGAAAAUAGAAGGACGGUUAUUGCAGACUAGUAUGUCCAUCGCUGAAAGCGUACGACAAUGCCUUAGAAAAGAUCCCUAAGGAAAAAUGGGCCCACGGCUUUUCUAAGUGGUUCCAUUGAAUGAGACGAUGUGUAGAGAGAAACGGUAAUUACUUCGAAAAGUAAUAAAAGUAUGGGCAACUUUCUACAUUAA
Long non-coding RNA from Danaus plexippus (monarch butterfly), 1910 nucleotides. RefSeq lists it as uncharacterized. The record is from RefSeq and is a predicted model, not a curated record. The transcript is spliced from 2 exons. Lineage: Eukaryota; Metazoa; Arthropoda; Insecta; Lepidoptera; Nymphalidae.